CCCAGUUUAAUUUGAAUUUCAGAUAAGCAGCAAAUACUUUUUCGGUAUAAAUAUAUCCCAUGCAAUGUUUGGGACAUACAUAUACUAAAACAAGCCUACUCUGUUGGAACGACAUUUUCAAUAUUUAAU
This 129-nucleotide microRNA precursor is filed under the name Chlorocebus sabaeus (green monkey). RNAcentral's name for it is "miRNA (ENSCSAG00000020658.1)". The stretch from base 39 to 90 matches the Rfam family "mir-1302 microRNA precursor family". The record is from RNAcentral. Lineage: Eukaryota; Metazoa; Chordata; Mammalia; Primates; Cercopithecidae.